This 433-nucleotide ribosomal RNA is filed under the name uncultured bacterium. RNAcentral's name for it is "partial 16S ribosomal RNA". It matches the Rfam family "Bacterial small subunit ribosomal RNA", at positions 29 to 507 of the family's 1533-position model. The record is from RNAcentral.
AACGAACGCUGGCGGCAUGCCUAACACAUGCAAGUCGAACGAGACCUUCGGGUCUAGUGGCGCACGGGUGCGUAACGCGUGGGAACCUGCCCUUAGGUUCGGAAUAACUCCCCGUAAGGGGUGCUAAUACCGGAUAAUGUCUUCGGACCAAAGAUUUAUCGCCUUGGGAUGGGCCCGCGUUGGAUUAGCUAGUUGGUAGGGUAAAAGCCUACCAAGGCGACGAUCCAUAGCUGGUCUGAGAGGAUGAUCAGCCACACUGGGACUGAGACACGGCCCAGACUCCUACGGGAGGCAGCAGUGGGGAAUAUUGGACAAUGGGCUAAAGCCUGAUCCAGCAAUGCCGCGUGAGUGAUGAAGGCCUUAGGGUUGUAAAGCUCUUUUACCCGGGAUGAUAAUGACAGUACCGGGAGAAUAAGCACCGGCUAACUCCGUG